UCAAGGCUGGCGGCGCUGGGUCUCUACUCCUCGCAGGGGGUUUGUUUGUUUGCUUUGCUUUUCCCUCCAGCUGGGUCCUUUGUUUUCUGCCAGCCUGUCCAGUGCUUCAGCCCUCUGGGAGCCAACACUGCUGAAGUCGGCAAGGUUGUGAAAGCGAAGAGGCGGGUGGGGUGUAGAAGAGAACAACCCGGUAUUUGGAACCCCAAACACGUGGCACGCGUGGGAUGCUCCGUAAAAACCUGGAUUUCCAGACCCGCUAAUCGCUUAUUUCUAUCCUGCGGCACUUGGAACUUAAUAUGGCCAAGACGGAAUUCAUCUAUUUUUCCAAACUCUGCACCAACUCCUCCAGUGACCCCUGACUGAUAGGCACAGCGUUGUAAGCGGCAUGGCAAAAGCAGGCUCCACACCCAGCAUGGAACACAAUGCGGGGCC
Molecule: long non-coding RNA, 432 nt
Organism: Lontra canadensis (Northern American river otter)
Lineage: Eukaryota; Metazoa; Chordata; Mammalia; Carnivora; Mustelidae
Exons: 3
Source: RefSeq, a predicted model, not a curated record